RNAcentral lists this ribosomal RNA (490 nucleotides) under uncultured bacterium. RNAcentral describes it as "partial 16S ribosomal RNA". It matches the Rfam family "Bacterial small subunit ribosomal RNA", at positions 30 to 507 of the family's 1533-position model. The record is from RNAcentral.
AUUGAACGCUGGCGGCAGGCCUAACACAUGCAAGUCGAACGGUAACAGGAAGCAGCUUGCUGCUUUGCUGACGAGUGGCGGACGGGUGAGUAAUGUCUGGGAAACUGCCCGAUGGAGGGGGAUAACUACUGGAAACGGUAGCUAAUACCGCAUAACGUCGCAAGACCAAAGAGGGGGACCUUAGGGCCUCUUGCCAUCGGAUGUGCCCAGAUGGGAUUAGCUAGUAGGUGGGGUAACGGCUCACCUAGGCGACGAUCCCUAGCUGGUCUGAGAGGAUGACCAGCCACACUGGAACGGAGACACGGUCCAGACUCCUACGGGAGGCAGCAGUGGGGAAUGUUGCACAAUGGGCGCAAGCCUGAUGCAGCCAUGCCGCGUGUAUGAAGAAGGCCUUCGAGUUGUAAAGUACUUUCAGCGGGGAGGAAGGGAGUAAAGUUAAUACCUUUGCUCAUUGACGUUACCCGCAGAAGAAGCACCGGAUAACUCCGUG